Canis lupus familiaris (dog) is the source of this 658-nucleotide long non-coding RNA. RefSeq lists it as uncharacterized. The transcript has 2 exons. The record is from RefSeq and is a predicted model, not a curated record. NCBI's taxonomy places the organism in Eukaryota, Metazoa, Chordata, Mammalia, Carnivora, Canidae.
GCUCCUCAGUCCUGCAGGGCCAGGCAAGAGGGAAGGGGGAGCCCCCACCCGCCCCCUCUCUCCUUCUUGAGAACUGCUUCCUCUUUGGCUUCCUCAUUCCCCUUGCAGAUCUGCAGGCUCCGGCAGCGUGGCCAGUGGCAGAUCAGAAGGGUGCCUGGGCCAGCAGAGUGACAGCGACCCGACGAACCCAACCCGGGCAGAGGCCUGGAUGGGCACCUUCCUGGAGCCUCGGGGGAGGAGUGACCAGUGAACCCUACCUUCACCCACCGAACCCUGUGCCAGCCUCCUUCCUGACCUUGCCUCAAGUUCUCCCAUGAGUCACCACGGGCAAAGAGCAGGUGCUGUCAUCAAGGCUUAGAUGUUGUUUGAAAAGCUAAUCUUGCCUUAGAAGGCGCUGGGGCUGGUCGCAGAGGAUCUUUAAAGAGGUAAUUAUGUUAAAAUGAGGAUGGGCCCUCCUGCCUUAUGACUGGAGUCCUCAUGAGAAGAGGAGACUGGGACACAGACACCCACAGAUGGAAGAUCAUGUGGGGACACAGGGAGAAGAUGGCUAGCUAUGAGCCAAGGAGAGAGGCCUCCGAAGCAACCGACUCUGCCAACUUGAUCUUGGACUUGGAGCCUCCAGAACUGUGGGAAAAUAAAUUUGGGUUAUUCAAGCUGC